This 73-nucleotide transfer RNA is filed under the name Bos taurus (domestic cattle). It matches the Rfam family "tRNA". From Rfam's summary of the family: Transfer RNA (tRNA) molecules are approximately 80 nucleotides in length. Their secondary structure includes four short double-helical elements and three loops (D, anti-codon, and T loops). RNAcentral also lists the same sequence under 2 other names. The record is from Rfam by way of RNAcentral. Lineage: Eukaryota; Metazoa; Chordata; Mammalia; Artiodactyla; Bovidae.
UCCUUGGUGGUCUAGUGGUUAAGACUCUGCACUUCUAAUAUAGGGGCCACAGGUUCAAUACCUGGUUAAGGAA